GGGCGAUUAGCUCAGCGGGAGAGCACUUCGUUGACAUCGAAGGGGUCGCUGGUUCAAUCCCAGCCGCGCCCACCA
This 75-nucleotide transfer RNA is filed under the name Alphaproteobacteria bacterium. RNAcentral describes it as "tRNA-Val". It matches the Rfam family "tRNA". From Rfam's summary of the family: Transfer RNA (tRNA) molecules are approximately 80 nucleotides in length. Their secondary structure includes four short double-helical elements and three loops (D, anti-codon, and T loops). The record is from RNAcentral. Lineage: Bacteria; Pseudomonadati; Pseudomonadota; Alphaproteobacteria.